This 512-nucleotide ribosomal RNA is filed under the name uncultured bacterium. RNAcentral describes it as "bacterial SSU rRNA". It matches the Rfam family "Bacterial small subunit ribosomal RNA", at positions 15 to 518 of the family's 1533-position model. The record is from RNAcentral.
GAUCAUGGCUCAGGAUGAACGCUAGCUACAGGCUUAACACAUGCAAGUCGAGGGGCAGCAUGACGAUAGCUUGCUAUGUGAUGGCGACCGGCGCACGGGUGAGUAACGCGUAUCCAACCUUCCCUAUAGUAGAGGAUAGCCCGGCGAAAGUCGGAUUAAUACUCUAUGUUUUCCAAUGCAGACAUCUAAAAUGGAACAAAGGUUUACCGCUAUAGGAUGGGGAUGCGUCUGAUUAGGUUGUUGGCGGGGUAACGGCCCACCAAGCCUACGAUCAGUAGGGGUUCUGAGAGGAAGGUCCCCCACAUUGGAACUGAGACACGGUCCAAACUCCUACGGGAGGCAGCAGUGAGGAAUAUUGGUCAAUGGGCGAGAGCCUGAACCAGCCAAGUAGCGUGCAGGAUGACGGCCCUAUGGGUUGUAAACUGCUUUUAUAUAGGGAUAAAGUGACCCACGUGUGGGUUUUUGUAGGUACUGUAUGAAUAAGGACCGGCUAAUUCCGUGCCAGCAGCCGC